Loxodonta africana (African savanna elephant) is the source of this 22858-nucleotide long non-coding RNA. RefSeq lists it as uncharacterized. The record is from RefSeq and is a predicted model, not a curated record. Lineage: Eukaryota; Metazoa; Chordata; Mammalia; Proboscidea; Elephantidae. The transcript is spliced from 2 exons.
CGGGACCCGGGCGCCGCCCCCGGGCGGGGAUGCCCUGCGCUCGCCCCGCCGCCCCGAGCGCCCGCACCAGUCGGCGAAAGCUGAUGACCCGUUGCUUAGCCCAUUGCUGUCAAGUUGAUUCCUGUUCCUACCAGAAGGCUAUGAGACUGCCUAUUUCUCUGCACCCUCACAACUCCAUGUAAUGGUUGUCAUCUUUACCAAUCUAAUAAAUGAAAAAUAGCGUCUCAUAUCUCUUUAAUGUCUUAUUUAUUGAGGUUGAACAUUUCUUCUGUUUAUUUUGUGGGCUGUGUGUUUAUGGUCUUUGGGUUGUUAAGAGUUUUUAUUUAGUGACGAGCAUGUUUAACAAGUCUGAAAGCCCUCUCUGCUGGCAAGUUCCCUUACCACAAAUAUUUUAACGUGUAUUCUAGUCAAGAGAUGAAAAGUAUACAUUGGGAACAAUACCUUAACAGAUUGUUGAAUAGGACAGGAUAAAUAUGUGUCACAAAAGAUAUGCUAAAGAGCUCAGUACAAAGGUAGAGAUGGAGAGGAGUAGGAAAGGCUCUUUGUAAAUGGCAAGGCCUGGACCUUGAAAAAGGUGGCCUAUGGAUGGUCCAGAGGAAGAAGAGCUGUCCAAUACAGAGGAAAGCAGGAGGCAGUGCUGACAUGUGAAGUGAAUGAUUAAAAGAAGAGAGAAGGCUCUGCUGAGCAACAGAAAAUACAAAGCUGCUAAGGCCAGAAGUCAUGGAAAAGCUCGAAAGAAAAAGUUUAUGGCAAACAGUCAGGUAGCCAAAUGGUGAGACAUUUUAGGAAUACUCAUCUAGAAUGAACGUGCAAAAUGGACUGAAGCUGGAGUGACAAGAUGACUUCAAUAAGUGUUUUGUUGUGUCUUUUUGGUGGGAGGAAUAGCUAGACUGAGGCCCUUGAUAAGACUAUGAAGGUGGGAAUAAAGGGGGACAAAUUCAAAAGCAUAAAUAAAUAGUACUUCAUGGUGGUUAUGAAAUGUAAAGGAGAGAAAGGGGAGGGACAAAGGGUUCUGAAACAUAAAGUAGGCUAGAAUUGAUGUCUGUAACAGAACUUAGGAAACAGAACUAGGUUUAAGGGGGGAGUAAAAAAUGAUGAGUUUGGCUUAGGAGAAAAAGAAGUCUUCAAUGGUAACUGCUACAUGCAAGUGUACUCUAGGCUGUAAAACUUCAGUAAUCAAGAUGUUGCUGUGGGAGAUAUCUGCAUGGCAAUGACAGCUGAAGUAAUGAAAUUAAGUAAUUAGAAAGGUGACUUUGGAGUUGCCCAAAGGGAGCGGACACAUGUAAUACUUGUGUGUCAGUCAUGAGGUAGCAGAGAAUGUCUAGAGGUGAGCCCCAUCUCCCUCUUCAUGCCUUUGCACACCCACCUGUAUUAUCGUUUGUGCUGUUCUUCAAGAUGAGUGGUCUGGCUUUGAAACAGCCAGGUUUCCAUGUGGUCCACGGACAAGCAGGCUGGAACCAUUUGUAAUUGAGGAAGAUUGACCAUCUGUGUGAUACUUUAUACUUUACCAAAAUGUCUUCUCAUCCAUUAUUUUUGCAUCAUGAAACUUCUGAGUUGAAAGAGGCCGUUAACAUAAUGUGGUCCAUCUCCAGUUUAAGGAUGAGGAAACUAAAACCCACUAAGGAAAGUGAAAUGAUUUGCGUAGUGUCACACAAAGUGGUAGUGGAGAAAACAACUCUUAGUUUUCAAGAGAAGUCACUGCUCAAGUGGCUAGAGUCCUUUCCCAUGUGUGCAGUUAGUCAAUCCUCAUUAUUCAUGGAGUCUAUAUUUAUGAAUUUGCCUACUCAGUGAAGUUUAUUUCUAACCCCAAAAUCAAUACUUGUGGCAAAUUUGCAGUCAUUUAUGGGCAUGUACAGGGUGGGAAAAAUUUGAGUCACCUGACACACGUUCCCAGCUGAGGUUGAAUAAGGUGACACAAAGCUCUCCUAUUGUAAACAACUGUACCAUUUACAGCCCAUCUAGUACCACGUUUUCUGCAGUUUCGUGCUUUUUGUUGAUUUCCCUGUUUAAAAUAGCCCCUAGCAUAGUGCUGAAGUGCUGUCUAGUGUUCCUAAGCUCAAAAGGCUGCAGUGGGCCUUCAUGAUAAAAAUGCAUGUUAGAUAAGCUUCAUUCAGGCUUGAGUUGUAGUGCUGUUGGCCUUGAGUUCAAUGCUAAUGAAACUAUAUUAAAUAUGGUGUCUUUAACAUAAGUGGGGUGGCUCAGUGGUUAAGAGCUCGACUGCUAGCCAAGAGGUCGGGAGUUCUAAUUUACCAGCCACUCCUUAGAAACACUACGGGCAGUUUUACUCUGUCCUAUAGGGUCACUAUGAAUUGGAAUCAACCGGACGGCAAGGGUUUUUUUGUAGAUAUAAACACACAUAAAACAAGGUUAUGUGUUGAUUGGUUGAUAAAAAUAUCAUGAGAAGCUUACAGAAACCUAACCUUGUAUUUCAUCUAGGAGCAAUUGUUCAGUAUUUGCUAAUUCAAUGUUUGCAGUGACUUUAUGGAACAUAUGUACUGCAAAUUAACAAAAAUCAACUGCGUUUCCAGAGCUCUGAAAGGAGGUGAGGCAUGGAGACUAAAAAGGACUCUCCUCUCCUCCACAUAGCUGCUAAAAUGCACAGAUCACCACUAUAUUAUCUUUGAAGAAUUUGUUACUUUUUUUUUUCUUGGUUAAAAGCUUUUAUAUUUCCAAUCUGUUUUGAAGAAUCUCAGUACUUUUCAGAAAUGUCAGUGUCCUUAUAAAGACAUCUCAAACAUUUCAUUUGUUUUCCUUUUAUGAUCUAUAAUUCUUUACUCCUCUGACAUGUUUUUUGUCACCUUUCUACUGGCAGAGAGUUAUUUUUCCAGAAAAGAGGCUAUAAGUCACUGUUUUCAAUAAAAUGAUAUAAUGCCAAGAGGUUUCUUUCCACUAAUGUGAUAUCAAAAUGACAAUAUGUACCUUCUGCAGUUUUCUAAAUUAAAAACAAGCAUAUUAACAAUAUUUAAUGUGACACAGUAUAAAUUCCAUGUAAAAUUAUUUAAUUUCCUUAUACCUACUGCAUUAUUUUUAGAACUUAUAGUAAAUCAGGAGCUAAAGAAAUUCCAGCAGGUUUGUAGAUUUAGGAUGGCUUCGUUGGAGAAAUUUUUUACAGACAUUGUUGAAACUUUAGGAGGAGGUGGACUUACAGCCACUUGGUAUCUUUUUGAGCAACUGUUCCAAGAAUAUCUGCUUUGCUAUUUUUUCUCAUUGAAUGUGUCACUUCAGUAAAUGUAGGCCUUAUACUACCAAGUCGCUGGUCAUUUGUCUCUCAAAGUUUUUUUCUUUCCUGAGUUGUCAUCUCACCUGUCACCUUGCACCCCAAUGGCAACAAGAGACAUCUGCUUUUAAAAUAUAUAAUUCCACUUCUUCACUCUAGCACAGUACCUUGCACUAGGUAAAGAAUUCAAAUAUCCAGUAAAAUAAACAAUCAGUUUGUAAUCAUCAUCAAAACACUCUCUUCUCCUAUUACCAUGGAUUUUAACAAAUGACUCCUUUCUGUUGUAUAUAGGGUCGCUAGUUUUUUUUUUUUAUAAGUCAGAACCAGCUCAACGGCACCUAACUUAACCUUUGCUAUCUUGUUUAGUUCUCACAAUAAUCUUGUGAGUUAGUUAGACUCUCCAUUUUAAAGAUGCAAAAACAAGGUCCAGGAGUUAAAGUAACCAGCACAAGGUCAAACUGUUAGUUGCAGAGCCAGAAUCCUUGGUCUACCUGGCUGCAAAUACUGAGCCAUUCCACUACAUCCUUGCUACUCUUCUGAAGGUUAAAAAAAGAAAAGCCUAUCGAUUGGGAAGGUUUCUCCAUCCCCUCAUGAAACCAGGGAGGUGUUCUGUAAGAAACCCUGUAUGACACUGAACUAAGACCAUUCCAUACAUUAUUGUUGAAGAUAUUCUGAACCUUUUAAGAAUUAAGAAGCUGGUUAAAGUUACCACUAAUUAGGUAGACUUUUUACUUAAAUAUCUGUAUGUCUCAAUUGCUGGCAAUCUCAUUUACUUCAGCCCCUACACUUAUAUGAAUCUGCAGCUUUAGGUUACAGAAUUUUAAAUCUAGAUUAUGUAUGAAAAGAUCCUCCCAUUUCACAGAUGAGGAAACCAGAAAGGUUAACUAAUUUGUUCAGCAAAUUUUAUCCAGUUAUUAAGUUCUAGAUUUGGCCCUGGCCCAUAUUUAAAUGUGAAAAGAAUAUCACAUUUUGCAAAUAAGAUUAUGAUUCAUUCAUACACAACUGGCUUGUGUCAAUACCAGUAUUUAUGUACUUCAAAUGCACAGUUAUAACUCAACAGAAAACCAUGUUCGAUUUAAUACCUUGAAGUAGCUACAUCCUAUUUAUGUAAUGUCUAAAAAAAAGCCAUUUCUAAUUUCCACAGAACUUUCAGUUUGGGACCAGCAGCCUGGCUCGUAGCACUAGCUGAAUGUUAGCUUAGCAACUGGCUUCUGCUCAAGCAAAAUAUUUCCACAGCUUGGUGUUAAAAGUUUACUGCCCUUUCAGUCCAAAAAUUUAAUAAAAAAAUAAACCUCAAAGGAAACAAAUUUAUGAUUUUCUAAACAAAAGUUGAUAAUUCUCUAAGCUUAACUAUUUUUUCAUGUAACAUUUUAAAAAUAUUGUGCAACUAUAUGUAUACUAUAUACAAUUGUACUCUAUUUAAAGAUUCCAGGUAUGGUACUUACCUAGUUAUGAAACUGCAACAUAUGAUUUGUAGAACUUGGAGAAUUCAUAACGAGAUGGAACCAGUGAGGAAAGGGUUAGGAGUGAAAUCUGUUACAAGGCAUGUGAGAAGGAACUCACAUUAAUAAGCGUAUUUGGUAUUUAUACGGCCUUAAGUGUAGUUUUGGGUAGUUUUAGUACAGACCUCAGUUACGUGAAGUGAUAAUAAAUAGGUAGCAAUAAGUAGCUAUGCUCAGUAACCCCCUGAAUACAAACCAAAAAUGAAAUGGUAACAGUCCAAAUCAAGAAAGAUAAAAAUGAGACACAAGAAAAACUUUCUAACUUGUGGAAUUUUGGGCUACCCUACUCAGGAUUCCUCUCCAGAUGUUUCUAAAAUGGAGAGGCUUAGGAAGAAUAUGGACAUAGUAAAAAUACCCAAACUGUUUGAAUACCACUUGUGACAGCUCAGGCCCUUCCUUAGCGCUAAGAUUUUGAAGCACAGAGUUUGUUGAGGGAAGUGGAAAGAAGAACCGUAGUACUUCCGUUAAGGACAGUCUGUCUUGACCUACGCAAUGGCCCGGGAUUCCAAAAGACCAACUAAACUUUUGCUAAGUUAGCAGAUGGCUGGAGAAAAUUCCUGAAAUGAGACUUCUAGAAAGACAGGAAGAAACACAGUGAUCUAGCAGACAUGCAAAAGAAUUUUCAAAGAUACAUUGUGUGCAUCAGACCACCUUUAUGAACACUAACAUAUCCUGUCCUACUAUUCUUAUCACUAGGUAAAAAAUACAGAGUCAAUCACAAAUCUCCUUGAAAUUUUAACAGAGAGGGAAGAGCUUACGUUUCUUUUUGGUCCUUAUAACAUAUGGCAUAUAUGUUCUUGGAUGAUGAGUACCACUUUGUGUGAAUUACCUGAUAAUGCAUUCAUUAAGGAUUGCUAACUCUACAAGCACAGUACCUUUGAAAGGCAUUUAUCUAUGGUAAGAGUUGGACAUUUGAAGUUUAAAACAUAGCUGCUUAUACUUUAGCUCAGUACCUUCUCCAUCCUCCUAUAAAAGAACGGACGCAUAAAACACCUUCAUCUAUAGUUUACAAAAAAAGUAAAUACCGUACUAGAUCACAGAGCUGCAGAAAAGCUGUAGUAAUCAUCUGGUCAAACUCCUCCCCAACUUUAUAAGUGAGGCAACUGCAGCCCUCACUCACAGAUUACGUAACUUGCCUAAAGUCUUUGGCUGUAUUAGCAAGGUUGGAACACAGGCCUCCUGCUUCUUGGUAUACUGUAAAUUUGAGGGCUGAACUCUUGAAAGGACUAACUUAUUUUAGCUAGAAAAACACUGCAUAGCUACUAUGCUACACUAGUCUUUAAAAAUUACAUAUUAAAAAGAUAAUGUUAAUCUUUGAUUUAAAAUUCCAUACCAACAAACUUGUGGUGUAUUGCAAUCAUUUUAUUAAUAUAAAGCAAUGGGAUAAAUCCUUUAACAGGAGUAUUGAUUCACUACCAUGAAUGCAUAUUGAUACUUCAGUGCAGUAUCAUGCUUGCUUGAGCCAAAUUAUGUGUGGAUUCCUUUCACUUCCACAUAUAAUAUAUAAAAACAUUUAUACUUCACUGAUCAACGGUAAAGCACCCAGCCAUGCACCUCCUCUUUCUGGUUUAAAUGCAUAUAAAUGCAUAUAUGAACACUUGGAUUUUACCACUCAAGGACUUCAUAAUAUAUGAGCAAGUUUUCAGAACACUAUUUCUGCCCUGUCAUUACUUUUUAAAUUAAAAAAAAAAGUGAUACUGUGGUACAAAAGACCUUUUUAUAAGGUCCUUUCUGGAGAAAUGUUGGAGAAUACAGUUAUAGUCCUAUAAUGACUGUAAUCAAGAUCAUCCUACAAGGACAUGCUGGUAGACUCACUCUCCUGGAGAGUUUUGAUCUUAUGAGGAAUACUAUAACGAUGGGUGAGGGAGAAUAUUUUAUAAAGGCAUUCCAGCAGAAGGCUCUCCUAGAGAGAUUUUUUAAAACAUAUUUCAAUCCUAUAAUGAUUGUAAUGAAGAUAACAUAGUUGGAGCAUUCUGCUGGAGAUUAAGUCUGCAAAGACAAAUAAUGUAAUUGUGUUCUGUCUGUGAAAAUAUAGAGGUCAUGAAAGCAGAAAAAUGUAGCACUAUAACAAAGAAUGAGGAAACACUCUUGAAGAAUAAACAAACACAUAAAAAUUUAAAAUGGUAUCUAAUAAAUUUUCAUGUCAACUCUUUUAACUAGACAUAAAAUUUUUAAAUGGCAAUGAAUAAAUCUUCAUGUCAAAUCUUUUAACAAAACCCACAAAUAGAUUAUAAAAAUUGAACAAUCAUUAAAUGUCCUAUGUAUAAAGUUUUAGGGGAAAGUUUAAAUUUCUAUAUUAUUCUUUUUAAUCAAAUACUUGAAUUUUAGUUACUGCUGAGGAGCAACUGAUACAUUUCUAAAAUAAUUCAGAUGGGAAGAUAACAUCACAAUUAUGGUUUGGCAUAGCAGCAUUCCAGUGAUCUUCAGUCAUCCACAAAUGUUAGCCGUCCAGGCCCUUCAUUCUUCAUCCAUCUCCUGUAUCUCUUCCAUCUAGGGUCAUUUGCCAGUUUUUUCUUCAGUUCUUCCUCUUGUUCUUGUUUGUAAACCUAGAAGUAUAAAUAACACCAACUGGCUUUACAAUCCAAAGAGAAACUUUGUCAUUAGCUUUAUGGCAUAUUUACAUUUUUAAAAUACAAUUUUAGGUAAAAGUUUCCAAUGAAUAUAUUGAUUUGUCUUCUAAAGACCCUUCAUAUAAAAAUACUAAACAAUUAAGCAUUUUGACAUUCAGGGUUAAAUAAAACAGAUCAACUUGUAUAAUAACUAGUUAUUUUUUGUUAUGGAUUUCUGUAUCCUAGAAAUACAUUUCUUUCCUUCUUGAAAUCAUAUAUAAACUGAGUUUAAAGAGUUUAAACACUUCCUUUCUACAAGUCCAUUGUUAAAGAAUCAACACUUUAUCUUUUAACAUGAUACACUAUAAAUUUAACUGAUGACUUUCAGUUAUUUGUUGAUCCUAACCAAGAAACAAAUCAACCUUACAUAUGUUUGUCUCCAAAUUGAACUUAUAUCUAUUUUCAUUUUCAAAGAUAAUUAUUCAUUUUUCAAAAUAUUUUUUGAUUAAAGUUCCUAAAGAAGGUUAAAUAAAUCACACAGGUUAAGAAUAAAGACCAUUCCCAUUCCUACAGCUUUCAGUGGAUGUCAACUGAAGUUAAACAGAACUCAUAGCCAGCUUAAUAGCCACAUCAAAUUUUAGAAAGAAAUUAUUUCAUUUCCAAAUAUUAGGAAGCAAUGGCUAAGAUAACCUUACAUUAGCAUUCAGUGAAAGACACAGUUUUGUGGAUGGGGCUACUUAACCUACUUAAAAGAAAACUUUUCAAAUAGCUUAGGAGCUAAAUAGUUCAUUACCUCUCAUUUUAAUGUUAUUUUUAAGCAAGCUGAAUAUAUCCACUUGUCAAAACAUUCUGGCAGUUCACUAUAAGUUAAUUUACUUAAAUAUAAUUCAGACUGAAAUUUUACUUUCAGUAAACUGUAUUUAGGACAUUACAUCUAAAAAGGAAUGGCUAUGAAACAAAAAAACUAAUACAUCUUGAUUUCUUAAGAAGGUUUCACUGUGGUCUAUUCUUAUAUUUAAUACAUGAACCAAUUAAUAUUGCCCAGAAUCUAAAACAAUAUCAUUAUGAUGAGACUGCUAGACCAUUUAGCAGUGUGGCUAGGUAGCUGAUCACAUCUAAGUAAUUUUUAUACUGACAGUUGUAGAAUAUAGCAUUUAUUAAAAUGCCAAGAGUUUGAGACACUACAGUAAGUAAAUUAAAAAUAACUUUCCACAUAUAUGUCAGUUAUCAAGCAGAAGACUCUGUGCUCAUUUAUUUUUAAAUGAACAAUUAUUUCAACAAAAUUUCUCUCUCUCUACUUUUUUGUUUGGUUGGUUUUUUUAAAUCUCUACCUAGGUCAUGUAACUGGAAGAAAACUUGGGGAGGACCAAAUUUUAGUUAGUAUAGUCAACAGAGCUGUCAUAACACCCCUGCAGAUUUAUAUCUUCUCAUCCCACUGCUGCUGAACACAUCAAAUUAGACCAUUCUUAGCUUUCUUCAGAAUUAAUCAACUUAAGUAUUUGAGAUUCAUCUUUUAAAAAGACAAUUUCCUAGUUAAUCCAUUGUCCCACUACCAGAUACACCCAUACUUUCAAUAUAAGGUCUUUAUUCGUUAUUUAACUCUUGGAUUUAAGAAUCUGAGCAUCCUUCUGUGACCCCUAUCACAUGCCUAAUUUUAACUUCGUAAAGACUGUGACACUAGAAUCACGGCAGAGGGAACACUCACCUCAUAAUUCUCCUUUAUCCAGAGCUCCCGUUUAAGAAAGGUUUCUUUCUGAUGAUCCUCUAGACUGUCAAACUGAGACUUCGACAUCUUCAUAGAUUUACGUAUGAUAUACAGUCUCUCUUCCUCUCCAUAUUCUUUGCCUUUGAUGUUAAAGUUAUAGACCCACCGGCAAUACCAGACUAUAUAUGAGCACAGGUGAAAAGGAGCCAAGAUAAUUUGGAACAGGAGAAGAUCACGGAUUUGGGGCUUCUGAUAGCCUCCCUUUAUAUCUAUUUUACUCUUGAUAAUAUUCUUUAUGAUGUUCUCCUCCUCAUCACGAAUUUCCUCUUUGGACUUUUUGUUUCUGCCUUUUUCUUUGGCUUUUUUUAGCAGUCCCUGCUGCUUGGCGAUUUCUGUAGCUUGGAUACGGUACUUGGGCACUGUGGCUAGGUAGCUGAUUGCCUUAUUGUAGCUAUUCCACCAGCUGAAAAACUAGAAUAUUUAACAAAAAUGAGUCAUUUUUAUUACCAAAAUUCACCUACACCAAAGCAAUGGUAGAGAGUCUUGAUGAAUACUAUCACCCAAGAAACCUGUUCUGAUUAACUAAUAAGGUUCUCAAAGAUAUAACACAUAAAAGAUACAACUGAGUAGAAACUACCCAAGUGUCAAGUGUCCAUCAACAGAUGAAUGGAGAAACAAAAUGUGGUAUAUCGAUACCAUAAAGAGGAAUGAAGUUCUGAUAUGUGCUACAACAUGGAUGAACCCUGACAAUAUUAUGUUAAGUGAAGUAAGUCAGAUGUAAAAGGGCAAAUACUGUGAUUCCCCUUACAUGAAAUAUCUAUAAUAUAUAAAUGCCUAGAGACAAAAGUUUGUUAGUGGCUACCAGGAGCUGGGGGAAGGGGGAAAUGGAGAGUUACAGCUUAAGGGGUACUGAGUUUCUGUUUAGGGUGACAAGAAACAUCUGGAAGUAUAUAGUGGUGAUGGUUGCACAACAUGAUGAGUGAAAUUAAUGUCACAGAACUGUAAACUUAAAAAUGGUUAAAACGGCAAAUGUUUUUUUACAUAUUUUAUCACACACACACACAAAGAUGCAACUGAACAAUGCUGAGGUGUGCUCCAGAAUGCGAUCUCAAGGUGGGUAAGGUAACCCUGAGCUGAGCCAAAAUGCCACAGAUUCAGACAGAAGGUACCCAAGGUGAGAGGAUGGACAGAUGGGAUAACACCACAUCUGUGGUUCCACAUCAUUAUCAUUUGGCUCUCCCCCAGACCGCUACUAAGACACCUUCCUGUUCUUUAUGCUGCAGUUUACUUAUCGGAGGCAGAGUUAAAUUGCAAAAACCAACUGGUGAGGAAUUAGAAAAUCCACAGGGUACAGCCUCAGGCAACUAUAUUCAUUCCUAUCUCUUUCCUAAACCAUCUGCACAUACUACAGUAAUGUCCAUCAUGUCCUGAACUGAAAGAUUCAAGUAUGUUUGAGCUCUCUUUUUGGGGCAGGAAGACAUUAAAUUACUUCAUAAAUAUAUUCAACCACAAAAAGUUUUAUUAACUGUCAGAAAAGCCCUGCCCCUCACGCAGUCCCUCCACACAGUUCAGGUGCAAUUUUAGUGAAUGAAUGCAGCAGUUAUACCAAUAAUAUCCUGAAGGAUUAUAAUAGAAAUUUAUUAGGGCUAACAACCAAAAAAAAUUAACUAGGGUAUUACAUUAUCUAAAGCAGAAAACUAAAAUGAUCUGUGCUCUUUCCUUUGAAAGGGCAAUACUUCUACAAAAGCUGAUAUGUUUAAAAUAUGCAACUUCAGUCUUCAACAGAAAUUCUUUUAUCAUAUAAACUGAACCUCAUUUCUGGGAAUUAAACUGGAGAAGUAAUUUUCAAGCUAGCAAAUUGCUUCACUUUAGUCACUUGUUCUUUUCCUCUCAAGAAGGACAUGAUAGAUAAACGGUUAGUUUAAGAAUAAUUAGGAAAAUUCAUUUCAAGCUGAAGUUAAAUUUUUUGAUAUUUCAAAACAACGUAACAAGUUAUUGUAGCUCUUUUACUUUAUUUCAGUGGUUCUCAACAUGAGCAGAAGCACCCUUAGGGAAACGUGGGACAUUUUUGGUUGUCACAAUGGUGGGGAGUGCUACUGGCAUUUGGUGGAUGGGAGCCAGGAUGUUAACCACACUGCAUACAUAGGACAGUCCCAUACAUGGAAGAAUAUUUCUGCCAUGAAAACGAAAAGCUCUUCUGCUGAGAAACACUCAAAUUGUUCUCCUUCAACUUGAAAUGUUAACAGCAAAGGAAGGUUACACUGAGGAACUGACAUUUAAGCUGAGAUUAGAACAUAAUUAAGUAGCCAGCAAGGCAAAGUUUAAGUGGAAAGAGUGUUCCAGACAGAGAAAACUGCAUGUACAGUAUAGUAUAGGUAGGCUCUGACUAGGUGAACGCCUGGUGUUCCACGAACUGAAAUAUGACCACUGUGCUUCAGUAGACUCAGUGAGUUGACUCUAUCCUCAUGAACAGCUCAACAGGACAGCUGAGAAGUAGGUAGGGGCCACAUCAUAUCUGCCUUGGUAGGCCAUAUUAAAAAGUUCAGGUUUUUCUGAAAUUUAAUGGUAGGUAAAUUAUUGAAAAGUUCUACAAAGGCAAAUAUGAAGCAGUUGACAUUCACUCUGGCUAUGAUGUGGAAAAUACUCUAAAAGGGGGCAAGAGAAGAGAUCAGGGGUUUCUUUGUUUUGUUUUGUAUAGCUAUAUGAUGACAUUCACCAUCAAUUUCCUAGAUUUCCCACUGACAAAGAUUCCAAUACUAUUGAUUGGUUGAAUAAAUGAAUAUUUUGCUAAUGUGAAAAAAUUAAUCUGGAACUAAAAUUUUACAAAUGGUACUUAUAAAAAAAAUUUUUUUUUUAGCUCAGUUUUAAUGACUAGCACUAAGCUAGUAUACUUGUACAUAUACACACAGAUACGUAUACCCAAUACAUACCUGAAACACUGAAAUAGCACAAACACUGACCAAAAUCACAACUCUAACAUCCACUUUAGGGGCUAAACGCCUGCGAUAGUAGUGGUAGUAAUGGCUGUAGUACUCUUCUGGAUGAUCCAGCAGGUAGUCAUAAUCUUUUCGUGUGUCUUCAUCCUGUAAGAUAACACAAUAUCCAAUUUCAUAGGACAUUUCAUGAAAUGGCCUUAAUUUAGAAUCUGUUAAGUUCAAUUUAGAAUUUUAUAAUUACGUAAGAUGAAGCUGAGUAAAAUUAACUGUCAAAAAAUAAAAAUUCCCAUCACUUUUCAGAGACAGACAAAACUUAUCCCUAGAGCUUUAAUAUUAGACAGAAAGCAUAAUAAAAAUAUUUUCCCAAAAUUCUUGAGUAUUGUUGGUUCUCUAGGAAAAAUAAAAACACAUCAGUAAAAUUACCCAUGCUUUUUAAGCCAGUUUUGUGGUACUAAGGAUGUUGUUAUGUUCCUGUAACUUAUUGACAUCUACUCUCAUAACCAUUCAUAUAAAAUGUGUCUCUCUGUUGUAUAUAUUCACAAUCAUGUUCUAGCCUUGUGAAGAAAGUUUUCUGUUGCAAGCCACAAUUAAGACACCAAAAAGUAGAUGAAGCCACUGUGUGCCUACAAAACUGAAUUAAAUUCAUCUCAAACACUGAAAAAUCAAUGCAGUAGAAUAAAGAGAGCAUUGGUCAAAGUCUAUAUACUUCAGUUUACUAGCUUUGUGACCCUCAGCAAAAUUUUUAGCCUCUCUGAGCCUUACUCUAAUUCAUUUGUAAAACACAGAUAAUAAUACCUGCCCUACUAAUUUUAUAGUAAAAUAUGUAGUACUUUACUAUUCAUAACACAUUGUCACAACCAAGUUCUUAACUGAGGUAACAUAUAGAUCUUUCUUACUCAUAUCAACAUAUUGAAAGAAGUACAGCCUUGUGAAAUGCUGCUCUGAAUGUUCACAAAUAAAACAUUUCUGAAAACCUUCUCUAACUCUCAUCAGCUGCUAACAGGGAUAAAUGUCAAUCUUUUAUUGCGCUACAUAGGUUGAAGAGCUAUUAAACUAGGUUACAGUUUGCUUUUUAUCCUACAGGAAACUUAUACUUCAACUUGUCCUGUUUCAAAAAAAAAAAAUGUUGAAGAUAAAGACCAAAACAAUCUUUUUACUCCCUAUAACUGAGUGCGGCAGAAACUAUUACAAAACGGAAAUCUUUAACAUACAGCAUUUCUUUCUCGGAUGAAUUAUUCAACAUUCAUAUAAUUGCAGAUUCUAACUAAACGCAUUUGAAAAUCUACACCUAGAAUCUGGCCGUGCUAUUGCAGACAGAGGCUCAGGAAUCUCGUCAGGGCCUCUCCUUUUGAGUCCAACAUGUAGUUUCUCAGAUUUAAAAUAAAAAGUUUGCUAAUGACAAAUUGUCCUGUGUAUCCAUUAAAAUCAUUACAUAUUUUCUAUUAAAUUUUUACUUUAACUGACAGGAUUCCCCAAUGACAGUUCAUUCAUUACAUUCAAAAUAUUUUUUUAUCUCUGCCUAGUAUCUGAUACUAGAUAAACUAGUAUUUGGUUUAACUAUAUUUAAAGUCAAUUCUGUGGCUCUAUAUACCUGGGGUCUAUUUUAUAUGAGAAUUGCCUUUUAUAUAUGGAGGGCUGAGCUCAGCCUGAAAUUCUUUCCAGAUUCACUCCUUUUAUGUUCUCUUCUGUCUGAAAGGAUUUUCUUAUGGCAACUGCUACAGCCACAUUGUCAAUUCUUAUCAUUCUUUUUUUAAACCAUCAUCAUAUCCCAGAGCUUGUCACCUAGAAACGGUAAAGCUUUACAGAGGUCACACAGAGAAUCCUUAAGCCUAAAACUUAAGUUUCUUGAUGUAUCUCAUUGAGUACUUCUAAAUGUAUUUUUAGAAUUUUUCCAUUCCCCUUCCCAGUCGUUUUUUGAUCUUUGGGCUAGCUGUAUAAAAAUAUCCUGCUUUUGACCUGAAAAUUCUUGACUUACUUUAGUCUCCCAAUCUUAGCAGAUACCUUCUGAAAUGUUUUCCUUCAAACAUAAAUCUCCUCCUUGCACCACUAGAUUACAUGUAGUUUUGAAACUAAAUACCACACUGAAAUCAGAAUCCUACAGUCCUCCAGCCUCUUUGUACUCCUCUUGGUUGAGGCAUACAGCCAGAUCCUUGAGUGUCAAUGCAAUCUGGUAUGUGGAUAUCAUACUUCCAUUAGUUAACCUCUCUUUCUUGUUCUUAGUGAAGUUCACAUUUCGUAGAAUGCAGAUAACCUUCUUCAAGUAUUUUACUAAAAUCUUCCCUCAGGGUCACCAUCUUCUCACUGGUCCCUAGAUUUGUGACUUCACCACGUCCUGAGUGCCUCUAACAGGAUGGUCAAGUAGUGUCCCAGUACCAGCAACUCCAAAAUCUAUACCUCAUAUCUGGUCUCUCUACUGCAAGCAGAGCCUCUAGGGGCUAUUCUGGGCUUUCUUAUGAGUCCUCAAACUACCCAAUUCCUGCAAACAGUUUCAGGGCCAAGUCUGAUUUCUCCUUUCCUUGGGGUCAACCAUAAAUUUUAUGACCUUGUUUUGGUCAUGAUCAGAGAUUGAAGGUUGGCCACCUCAAUCAGAAUUGUCAAUCUAGGGUUCUUAAACAACUUUCUCUCCAGAAUGAAGAAAAUGAUCUUUAGGCUGAAGCGUGUAUAAUACACUUUACAAAGUGUUCAAGGUCGAAACAAAUUGGUCAGAAUUAGGAGUUCUCAACAGCCUAAGUCAAAAUCCUACUCUUUAGUAAUGUCCAAAGCUUAGACUCAACCAAGUAAGCAUACAAGGAUACCAGAAAUACUAGCACAGAUGAAAAGACAGAAGUAUCACCUUUCUUUCAGGGACCCAAUUAGAGUGCAUUAGGUACAUAUGUUUAUUUUUCUCCCAUAUAUCUCGGAACUAAGGUAACCCUGUAAUUUUUCCCCCACUGCUUCCCUGUGGCCAAUAAGUUAAAAUUUCCUUGGCAUAAAACAAGGCCUCCACAGCUGGCCCAAAGGCACCUACCUUCAUCUCUUAAUCAUGCUUUCCUGUUUUGCCCAAACCAAACACUCAGCAAUUUCUAGAAUUUGGUGCGUUCUUCAGUAUGGCAUGCUCUUUCUCUAUAGCUUGAGUGCCCAUCCCUUUCUUUUCAGCCUCACGAACUCCUAUUAAUCCUUUAGGACACAAACAGUACCACCUCAGACAGAGUAGACCACUCUUAUUCUGGUUCUAAUUAGUACCUAUUUAUUAUAGCACUUAUCACAUUGUAAUUAUCAGGUUGUUUUUUUUGUUUGUUUCUCCAUUUCCUUGAAUAAGAACUUCUAGAAGAUAGGGAAAGUAAGUCAUUAAUCUCUGUAUAUCCAAGGCCUAGCACAGUGCCUGGCAUUCAUUAAAUGUCACUUCAAAAAUGAAUGAAAUUUUGUAAAGGCUCUCCUUCACUAUAAACAUCUACCUCUGCAACCACACAGGUCUCCAUCUCACCAGCAAGGCUGGAUCAGUGGUUAUGUCACAAAAACAUCAGCUUUGUAGAAAUGAUUGAUUUUAUAGCUUAUGGAAAUAUGCUAAUGUGGCUAAAAUAGCUUAAACCUUAAAACAGUUGAAUAUCUUACCUUUCAAUAAGGCAGUACUUUUUCCUUCAGCAAUUUUGUGGAUCUUAAGGUCCCAGGAUCAGGAGAUUCCAACUUCUUUCCAAACCAAAACCUUUAUACUUGUUUCUUCCUCCUCUCUGUCCUGAGCCUUGAUAAGCAGGGCAAUAAGCUCCUUGUUUCUAAUCUCUAGAGGAAUAAAUGGUGCUUCUGCUGGUGUCCACUCCAUUCCCAAUCCUCUUGGGCAUAGGCAGGAGGACUGGAACAUAACCACCAGUAUCUAGAUCAAAAGUGAACAAGAGGAAACCCACAAGCAAAGAAAGUACUGAAUCCUCCCUUCGCUUACGAAAAUGAUCAUCCCACCUCCCCAGAGGCAAAAAUAUAUUAUGUUCUUGCCUUUGAAAGAGAUAAUGAAUUGCUUGACCUCAAUAAACAUAACUUGCAAUAAUCUGAUAUUGCAACCAGUUUUACAUUAAAAUUUUUCUAUUACACAAAAUGUAGAAACCAUUUUAAGAUGGUAAAGGCCAGGAAUCAAUAAUAUAUGAAAACCUAGUAAUACUUUAUUCAUUCUUAAAAGUAUAUAUUAAUCCUAUUAUUAAAAAACAUACACAAAGGAUCCUUUAGAAAGAAUACACUUUGUCCCUCUAAAGUUUUUUUCCAGGUCAUUACAGCCUACUAAAGAGGAAGAAAAUGAACUGUUACCUCUUUUCUUAUUCCCUGACUACCCAGUCACUAGUAUGCCUAUCUUCUCCUAUGUCUUCACAUUCUAUAUGUGGUCUCAACAACUUCCACGGUUUGGAAUAUCACCUAUGUAACUUGUGAUGCUCACAUCUGUUUUUGCUGCUGUCUUCUAUUUCCAACUAUCUCCUGAACAUUUUCUAAACGUAACGUAAAUAUCUCAAAUUCAGCAUGCUCAAAAACUAAAACCUGUUCCUCUGUAUUUCAGAUAGUAGUUAUCAUCAUCUACUUAGUCACCUGAGCUUUUAAAAAUUUUAGCCAUUUUCCACUUAGGAAAUAAUUAUACAGGGCACUAGGGCUUGUGUUGAACACAAAGGUAGAUAAAAAGACAAGUAAGAUAAUGUCUUGGCCUUAAGAACCUUCCCAUUUGAAGAAUCUAGCAAGCAAGAAAAGCAUAAUACAAUGUACUAUGGAAAAGGACUAACUAUGCCUCGAACCACUGUCAAUGAAAUUUACAGAAGAGAUGAAAUGAGAGCUGGAUCUGGAAAUACAAGAUGUGAUGAAAUUUUUUCCAAGCAAAGGGAGCACCAAAUAUUAUUGACUCAGUGCAGCUUGAGCAUUGGGAAAACUUAGGAAGAGAAGAGUAGUAAAUGUGGCUAAGAGGUAGGUUUGGUUAAGAACUUUUGAGGAUCUUAUAUCCAUGCUAACAAGUCAGGGUGCUAUGUCUGUGCUAUUCAAAAAAGAAAUAUUUUAAAGUAUGAAAACAAAAGCAUAGAGUAGAAGUAUAUUUUUGAAAGACAACUCUGGUAGUAUGAAUGUAAAGAAUGAGGGAGAAACAGAUUAGAGACUAAGAGUAAAUAGGAUUUGGUGAUGAAACGGGUGUAAAAAUCAAAGGAGAUGUUGAUCAUGAUACUGAAGUUUCUCCCUAUAGUUACUGUGUGGACCAUGUUGUUACUAAGAUAAAAAACAGAGGAAGAGGACAGUGAGUUUGGAGAAGAUACAGGGAAAAAUUGGGGAAUAUUUUGAAAUAGGGGGGACCCACUUACUAAUCAUCCUUUUCAGUGGAAUACUGAAGCUUCCAGAGAUUAUCUAUUCAUGCUGGGGGUGUGUGCUUUUGUUUAUCUUUGACUAAAUUAUUUUUAACUGGAGCCCUGGUGGUGCAGUGGUUAAGAGCUUGGCUGCUAACCAAAAGGUCAGCAGUUAGAAACCACCAGCCACUCUGGUCUACAGGGUUGUUAUGAGUCGGAAUCAACUUCACACCAACGGGUCUUGGGUUUUUUUUAACCUAUUUUAAGUAGCCCUGGUGGUGCAAUGGUUAAGAAAUUGGCUGCUAACCAAAAGGUUGGCAGUUCAAAUCCACCAGGCGCUCCUUGGAAACCCUAUGGGGCAGUUCUACUCUGUCCUGUAGGGUCACUAUGAGUCAGAAUUGACUCGACGGCCAAGUCUGGUUUUUUGCAGGGGGAGGGUUAGAGACAAAACUUGUAGAAAACUAAUAGUAAUGCAAAUAAUUCAUGUUCAGAGAAAGGCAAAUUGUGACUGUUGUUGUGUGCUGUGGAGUCAAAUCCGACUCACACAGAGUGGAACCACCUGAUAGGGUUUCCUAGGCUAUAAAUCUUUACCGAAGCAGACUGCCAUACUUUCUCCCAUGGAGCAGCUGGUGAGUUGGAACUGCUGACCUUUCAGUCAGCAGCUGGGAACUUAACCACUGCCACCAGCGCUCCUAUAAGUAGCUCCAGACCCUCUGAAGUCCAUGAAGAAUGAAAUGAGGGUCUUUGUGCUGUUGUCAACCUCUCAAACUGUUCAUUUACCCAGGACAAUUCUGCACAAGUGAAAUGAAAAUGUCAAGUGCUCAGUUUCUGGCUAGAAUUAUAGCAGCUCAGUAGUUUCCAUGUUGAUCAGGAGCUCUAACUGAUGACAUCAUGUGUCAGAUGGUUACAGAACCAGGACUAAACACAUCUGGUACAUAUAAUCAACCUUGGCCAUAAGUAGAGGAUAGCAACUGAAAUUAAGGAUUCAGCAAAAAUAAACACUUAUGGAUUCACACAGAAAUAGCAAACGUGACACAUACACUACCCUACCCUUCUUCUGGGCCCACAGGGGAAAUCACUAUCAAAGAUGUCACUCUCUGCCACUAAACCCAGGCAAGCCCUCAAAACUCUUAAUAAUGUUUUGGAUAGUCAUGACCAGAGUUGGCAUCUGAGGUGAAAACUAUUUGCCAUCCCUGGUCUAUACACUUACUUAAUUAGGCUGUUUAUCAGCCUCACAACUGUAACAGAAAUUUACAUCAUUUUAUAAUAUUCUUAGGAACACCCAAUUAUUAAGAAUUAUUAAAAUCUGGAUCAAUGUUAGAAAAUAAAAACAGUAGUACUAAUAUGUGCAAUUAAUUUUUUCUCCCAAACAAAGAGUUCCCAGAGGAAAUACAAUAAAAGUGAUUCUUGGUGGAGAAAACACUGACUCCACUAUACCUCACCAAACUACACCUCAUUCCUGGAACAAGCUUUGCAUAGUUAUGCCUCUAGGUUUUUGCUGAUCCAGUUUUCUCUUUAUCCAAAAUGUCCCUUCACUACAACCAAUGACUGCCCUGACAGAGAACACAACAGAGAAUCCCUGGUGAAGCAGAAGGGCAGUGGGACGCAGACCUCAAAUUCUUGUAAAAAGACCGGACUUAAUGGUCUGACUGAGGCUAGAAGGACUCCAGGGGUCAUGGUCCCCAAACCUUCUGUUAGCCCAAGACUGGAACCAUUCCCAAAGCCAACUCUUCAGACAGGGAUUGGACUGGACUAUAAAACAGAAAAUGAUACCGGUGAGGAGUGAACUUCUUGGCUCAAGUAGACGCAUGAGACUAUGUGGGCAGCUCCUGUCUGGAGGGGAGAGGAGAGGGCAGAGGGGGACAGAGGCUGGCUGAAUGGACACAGGGAAUACAGGGUAGAGAGAGGGAGUGUGCUGUCAUUAGAGAGAAAGCAACUAGGAGUAUAUAGCAAGGUAUAUAUAAUUUUUUGUAUGAGAGACUGACUUGAUUUGUAAACUUUCACUUGAAGCACAAUAAAAAAAAAUUUUUUUUAAAUGUCCGUUCAUUUGUUCUAGAUCCAGCUCAAAGAGUACAUUCUUCUCCAAUUCCCCAAGAAGAAAUAAUUGCUUCCUCUCAGUACAGCAGUAUAAUUAGGAAAUACUUAUAUAACUUAAAUAAAUAACAGCACAAUAAGCAUCUAUCUCCCGUGUUAUAGUAAGAGCUUAGAGGCAGGAACUGUGCCCUUUGCGUUGUUAUGGACUCCUCCCCCAGCACCUAUGUCAGUAAGGAGAUAAUGGGUUGAAUGAGAGAAUAUACUAAGAAACAGUAGCAUAACAGGGCAGAGAGUUUAGAGUCUCAUUUUCAGCCAAGCUCUCCCUGCCACAUCAACCAGACUGAUAAAAAGAAACAAGUGUUCUUGUGAUAUUUCCCUUCCAAGACAAGGCUGGAGUAGAAGGCUCUUCCUACACAUUCUUUCAACUUACCAGACAAUCCUCAGGCCGGUAAUAUUUCUAAGACCAUUUCUAUGGCCUUCUCUGUGAUCCUGCAAAAUAUGUAAAAUUCUACUACUUUCCCAUUUCUACCAAUCAUAGUUUUUCUAUGUGCAUCCUUUCCACCUGUUCCCUCAUCUGUUUAUUUCUAUGCCAUUCCUCAUAUUUCAUCCAAUUCUUAUCUGCAUUUAAAAAGGAUUAAUGCUCACACUUAAAAACCCUCAGAAUAUACUUUCUCCUUAAAGGUGGAAAUGCAGUGUUUCUCUCAUGCAGAAAUUUUCCAUUCAUACAUCCAGUCUACUUUACCUGUACCACUCACUCUUCAAAAACUACAAUUAACUUGGAGUGAAAGAGCAACAUAGGCGUCACAUAAUGGUCAAAAUACCAGAGAUCACUUUCAGUUUCCAUUCUAUCUGAAUCUAUCUCCAGAUAAGAGUUUUAAUUUAGUAAACAUUCAUUAUUUGAUGUGCCAGACACUGUGCUAAGUGCUAUGGAUAUACAUACAAAAAAUGAGGAACAUGGUUUAGUGGAGAAAGGGGAAGGACUACUCAAUAUUUACAGUGCAGUGCGAUAAGUGCUAUAUUCACAUAAAAACACAUAGGCAGGACUAAACUUUCCGCCCCAUAAGAUCCAAUUUUGACAAGACAAGUAAGAGUCCAUUUACUUAACUUCCAAAGUCCGUGAAUUCCCUGAAUCCCAGUAGUCAAAUACACUAAAUAUUACUAGGUUUUAGCAGUGUGUGAAAACAUAAUUUGAAGUCCUCCUGAGACCUGGAAUUGUAAGUUAUUUGGAAAUAUGAACUAAGUGUGAUUUGGUGAAAGCAUCUGACCAUUUUUAGCCAUCCUUUUUCUGAUUUUCCUCAAUCUCUCUAUGCACAGGUAGAAUCUUCACUGCUAAAACAGGAACAGCCAGCUGUGAUAAUACCUUCUUGUCUUGUCUUACCCACCGUAUUUAAAUCACAUUACUGUACUUACUUUUUAAGAACCACCAUUUAAAUUUCUCUUAAACAGGCAUUUAUUUGACCAGGACCUCAGAGUCAUAAACCCACCAAUGUCUUGCACAAAUACAGUUCCCAUUUUGGCCACACAUAUAUUAUCAACAUUGGGAGAUCUCUGGUUAUUGUAAGUAUUGGUGGAACUCCAAUGUAAGGUUAUAAUGAGGAUAGACCACAGCAUCUAAGAUCAUACACAUUAAAAAGUAUUAAGAGAUUUGAACAGACCAAUAAUAAGAGAAAUUGAGAAGGUUAUCAAAAAACUGUAGCAAGAGAAAAAAGGUUCUUGGCUCCAAUGAAUUUACAAUUAACCUUCCAACUUUCAAAAAAGAGAUCACUGCUGUUACAUAAACUGGUCCAGAGAUGGAAGCUACCUAUUCAUUCUACAAAGUAAAUAUAAAAUCAACUUUUCCCCGACAUAACAGCAAUAACUGACGAUGGCUGCAAAGGAGGACUACUCUUUCCAUGCCACUUUUGCUAGCUCUAUUUUUAUAGAUAAGUGUACCCUUCAAAGGUUUUACUGUUAAUCUUUAUGAAGAAAGAGAUACAGUACAACAAAAAGAGCAAACGGAAGUAAAAAAACUAAAAGUUUACGGUUGUGGUCUCAGGUCUGCAGUUCCUGCCUCCAUAAGACAAUAUAUGGAAUUCUCAGUAGGCUUUUGCAUCCCAUUUGUAUUUCAGAACCACUGGAACUCACCAACUUCUCCCACUAUUCCAUCUGACCUUCCUUUAGCAAAGAUCACCUGGACCUUUCCUCCCUCACAAGUCAUCUUUCCAACCUGAGGCUAUAAUCCAAGUAAAACAAUAGUCCUAUCCACAUCACCUUAAAAGGAUUAAUUUAGAAGGCUGGGGCCCUCCAAACUGGAUGACUUUAAUUCAUUAGAUCUUUGUAUUGCCCAGAAAUUAUAUUCUCUGGCAAUUUCCUCACAAUUCUCCAUUAUGACAGAAAUUAAACCAGACCACUGUUUGUUGUAAUAAUUUCUUCCACAGUGAGCCAAAGUCUUUUCUUAUUCCAAGAGAGGACCUCUGCAGUGAUGUAAACAGCUCCUGGAGAUACUCCACUUGAAAACUGAAUCUGUGUCCACCUAUAUAACGUUAAACUGGAGUUUUCAUAGAACACAGCCAGGUAUGAUUUCCAGGGGCCCAAACUAUUCCCAGACAUCCCUUUUCUCUCACAGAUAAUUGUCAUUCCUUUGCAGUAAUACUUUAAGGUAGAAGAGCUAUAGAACACUCCUCCCAAUUUGAGUUCCAUUUGGAGGCAUCUGUACCUACAACAAACAUCCUGUUGGGAGUCAAGGGUAAAAGCACUACUCUCUCCAGACAGACUAGUUUUUAACUGGCCCAAAGUUCCUUGUUCUUGAGUGGACAAAUUAUUUAUCUGGAUUUUUAUUAGCUGACACAUCAGAGCUAAAAUUUAGGGAUCAAAACCUUUAGAGGCAACCAAAUCAGUACCCUAAAUUUGCCCUAAAGUCUCUUCAAGAAGAUGGCAAGAAUAUUUAGAAGCCUUGCUCCCUCCCAGCAAGAAUUUCUCUGUGGUCUCUAUUCCUACCCCCAAUCUUGCAUUUGUUUUCAAAGUUCUUACUAACAUGCUCACCAUUCUCAUGUCAAGCCUACCUAUCUCUAAUCUCACCAAACCCAGCAGAAGGCAACAGGUGCCAGUGUUUCUGCUGGCCUUUCCUCUCCAAGUUCUCCAUCUGUCCAGGGCUCCCUUAUGCAACAGUAGAGCUUUGGAGCACAAAGGGUAAAGCCUCUGCAGCUUCUCUGGACCUCUAUCUUCCCUCAAAGCAUAAAAAAGAACUUAGGGCUUUAUAUGCUGGACUACCCUGGAUGGAAAGAUUUCUUUCCCAUUUUUCUCAAACCUUUCCUCAGUCUCUCUUUAAUAAGCCCUCUGGUCGUAACUUUUCCCAGCCCUCACCUAUACCUCAAUUAAUUGCCAAUAAAAAUUACAAUCUAAUUAAUGCUAAUGAGAAUUCAGUAAAUUAGGCCUGCUCAUUAAUUACUGUAAAUUCUCCAAACUGCUCUGUAAAUCAUGAAUAAAGAGCCUUUAACUCCUUGACUCAGUAUUUUGACCUCUGGAAAACUAAUCUGAAGAAACAAUCCAUGGUUAAAUUAGAAUUCAUCCACACAAAGCACUGCAUUAAAAGCAGAUUAUAUACAACAACAACAAAAAAAAAAACCUUGCAAUUACAACAGCUGUUGUAUUAGCACGAUGGGG